ACAUGCAGUCGAGCGGAAACACUUCGGGUGUCGAGCGGCGGACGGGUGAGUAACGCGUAGAUCAUGUACCCCAAAGUGAGGGAUAACCACUUGAAAGAGUGGCUAAUACCGCAUGUGGUCUUUUUUAGAUUAAAGUUUUAUACGCUUUGGGAACAGUCUGCGUUAGAUUAGCUAGUUGGUCGGGUAAUGGCCUACCAAGGCGACAAUCUAUAGCUGGUUUGAGAGGAUGAUCAGCCACACUGGAACUGAGACACGGUCCAGACUCCUACGGGAGGCAGCAGUAGGGAAUUUUCCACAAUGGGCGCAAGCCUGAUGGAGCGACGCCGCGUGCAGGACGACGGUCUUCGGAUUGUAAACUGCUUUUGUGAGUGAAGAAUAUGACGGUAACUUACGAAUAAGGGUCUGCUAACUACGUGCCAGCAGCAGCGGUCAUACGUAGGACCCAAGCGUUAUCCGGAUUUACUGGGCGUAAAGAGUUGCGUAGGCGGUUAGUUAAGUGUUCUAUUAAAUCUGGUGGCUCAACCAUCUAGCUGUAGAGCAAACUGACUAACUUGAGUGUCGAAGAGGUCGCUGGAAUUUCUAGUGGAGGAGUGAAAUCCGUAGAUAUUAGAAGGAACACCAAUGGCGUAGGCAGGCGACUGGUCGACAACUGACGCUAAGGCACGAAAGCGUGGGUAGCGAACGGGAUUAGAUACCCCAGUAGUCCACGCCGUAAACGAUGGAUGCUAGCUGUGUGAGGCAUCGACUCCUUGCGUAGCGAAGCUAACGCGUUAAGCAUCCCGCCUGUGGAGUACGAGCGCAAGCUUAAAACAUAAAGGAAUUGACGGGGACCUGCACAAGCGGUGGAGCGUGUUGUUUAAUUCGAUGAUAAGCGAAGAACCUUACCAAGGCUUGACAUCCCGCGAAGUCUCUGGAAACGGAGAUGUGCCUUCGGGAACGCGGUGACAGGUGAUGCAUGGCCGUCGUCAGCUCGUGUCGUGAGAUGUUGGGUUAAGUCCUGUAACGAGCGCAACCCCUAUGUUUAGUUGAAUUUCUCUAAAGAGACUGCCCUGGUAACAGGGAGGAAGGAGGGGACGAUGUCAGGUCAGUAUUUCCCUUAUGUCUUGGGCUACAAACACGCUACAAUGGCCGGUACAAAGGGACGCCAACUCGAGAGAGGGAGCAAAUCCUAUCAAAACCGGUCUCAGUUCGGAUUGGAGGCUGAAACUCGCCUUCAUGAAGUUGGAAUCGCUAGUAACGGUGAGUCAGCACAUCACCGUGAAUACGUUCUCAGGUCUUGUACACACCGCCCGUCAAGCCACGGAAGUCAGGGGCGCCCGAAGUCGGUUCAUUAA
This 1334-nucleotide ribosomal RNA is filed under the name uncultured Candidatus Saccharibacteria bacterium. Its description in RNAcentral is "16S ribosomal RNA". It matches the Rfam family "Bacterial small subunit ribosomal RNA". The record is from RNAcentral. Lineage: Bacteria; Candidatus Saccharimonadota.